CGGAAGAUGACGGGGGUUCUGGGCUUGCCUCACACGCGAGAGGUCGUAGGUUCAAGUCCUACGCCGCCCACCA
RNAcentral lists this transfer RNA (73 nucleotides) under Thermus scotoductus. Its description in RNAcentral is "tRNA-Val". Lineage: Bacteria; Thermotogati; Deinococcota; Deinococci; Thermales; Thermaceae. RNAcentral also lists the same sequence under 1 other name. The record is from RNAcentral.